UCUUCCUGUUCACUCUGAGGGAGAGCCGCUGCCGCCCCCUCCCAUUCCAAACUCCUCUCUUCCCCGCCUCCCCUCGCCCUAUCGACCAUCCUCCCCGUCCGCCGCCACCACCGACCAGUCGCAGCCACGCUACCAUCCCCUCCCUGUUCCUCUCCCGUGGGAAGUCCUCCGAGAAGCAGCCCAAGGGCAGCCGCCUCCCGCUCGGUGGCCGAACGCCGGGAAGCGCCGCUGCUUUGGCUCCGCCAUCUCCUUCGCCCUGCCUGUCGGAUCCACGCCGUCGUCCUCGCGUGCACACGGCAGGUGCUCCGCCUCUUCCUCUUGUCCGGCCAGAUCCAUGGCGCACGGCCUCUCGCGCUCGCUCGCGACCCUGAACCGUGGCAAGGGUUUCAGGCUGGGCAUCGGCUUCGUCGUCGGCGUGGCUCCGGUGGAUUCCGGCGGCUCCUCUCCGUCUCCUCUCUCGCCCCCAUGCGCGGCUCCGCUUCCUGCUGGCCAUGGGGUGCAGCCUUGCAUCGUCCUCUUCUCCUUUUCCUUCUCUGGCAAAUUUUGUGUUGGUUCACUGCUCAAUUUCUUUGGUUAAUCUUCGUGCACUGACCACUUGGUGUUGUUGAUGGCGCAGAUUGUGGCGAGGUUGAGCGUAUGGAGCAGAGGGACCAGGGCAGGGGGCGGCCGUCCCGGGCACCCGAUGGCUUGUUUCCUCUAUACGUACUUGAUGGUUAGCCCAUGUAGCAGAUCGACUGAUUCUGAAAAAGGGAAAAAAUGGUAACAGAUCGACUAAUUCUUGGCUUGCUGCAUGCGCGUGAUCUUCUCUGGUUUCUCUUCCCCAAUUGGCAAAAAACCAGCCAUGCCAAGGUCAACGGCACCUUGUCCACGCCGUCUAAUUGCGAUUUUCAGCUGCUGGGUGUGAUUAGUGCAGGAAGGUAAUGGGAUUUUCUCGAUUCCAUGAACCUCCUCGUGAACUCAAAUCCCAUUUGUUUGUAGUCUUGUUAGAUGUUUCGCUUCGUGAAGUUAAUCCUCAUUACAUAUCUCUUUCUUGAACUUCAGUUUCUUCUAUUGAUUGGGAUUAGGAAAGGGAAACUAAAUUUUCUGCUCAUGACUUGUAAGCUGCAGCAAAAGCUUGCAAUUUCUAAUUUCCUAGCCAACCAGGUGCAUUUGUUUCAUGCCUUUCCUAAACUUUUUUAUUUAACUAGCUGUGUUCUUAAUUUUUGUCAUCUCGUAUCAUAUAUUUGUGUACUAGGCGAUGCAUUGUUCUUGGUUUCUCCGUGCGUUCAUUUUGCUGAUGAUGAGGUGUGUACACAAGACAGUGUGGCUCCUCAAUUUAUACACAUGAUCAUAAAUUGUUGGAUUGAAUUGUUGCCUUAUAUGUCAAGUGCUUGUUGUGAGUUCCAAACUUACAGUAGAGAUGGCGUAUUAGCUACCCGAUCUAGAGCCGAAGCUUUGUUGGCGCACGGUAUUUUUUGUAUGGUUAUUGAUUUGCUAGCAUAUAUUCUAGACUAAAUUUUGUUAGCCUGCACUUUAUAGCGCUUUUAUCUGGUUUCUUUCUUAGUUUCUUAUAACAUCUUAAUUUAUUUAUUUUAUAUGACAUAAGAUUGUUCCGUUCACUAAUGUUUCUCCAUGUUUAUGAAGAAAAGAUUGGGUUCAGAGCACCUUUCCGUGUUAUUUAUCUAAUUUUUGUGAUUUCUGAUGUUCAGGUCAAGGCGAACUUGAAAUGUGGCCACCUUUGUAUGGCUAAUGGCUUUGUAGGCUUUCAGUAUUUGGCGUCUGUCGCCGGGUUUGUUCCGCCUCAACCAGGAUCUUCUCGGCACUGCUCUGAUGUUUUGAAAACUCACGCACGCCGGCAGCCGCCUCCAUGCUCCAGUUGCCGCAGCCUGCAGUGUUCUUACAUCUAGAUCUAUGGACAGUGUCAGUUGCUCCUAUCUGGACGAGCUUUGUUGGGGUCAUGUGGUUGCUGCUGCUACCGCUUUGUCGGGGUCAAGGGUCAAUAAAACUCAGGUCAAUUGAUGUUGGGCACCAAUCUUGCUCCUAUUUGGGUGGGCUACAGCUUUGUCAGGCUGCCAUCAUAUUCUGAUCUUCCAGUGUUCCUUCUGCGGUGUGGAGGAGGUUUGCUACUAAAUUCACAAAAAAGUAGUGUUCUUUUGCAUCACCAUCCUAUGGAGCCAUGAGAUCUGAACCAAUGAAUACAGAGAACAUUAACUAUGUUUGUGGAUCACUACAUGUUCUAUUGGAACAAGAGUAAAAGGUCAUAGUGACAACGCCACUUGGACUGCUUCUGAACUUCCAUGAUGACACUAGGCUGUUCCAAGGACAACCUGAGCUCCUCCUUGUGGUGAUGUUAGCGGGCGAGCUUCUUCUACCUCCACUCUAUGGAUGUCAGCAGAGAAAAGGAGAGGAAGGGGAUGGAUGAGCAAGGACCAGAAGGACCAGAAGAAGAAGGGCAAGGGAGAUGGGGCGAUGUGCAUGUCCAUGGAGGGGGGAAUUCUAAUUUCUUUACAGCGGUGUUUGAACAAAAUGGCAUAUUCCGUGGGCUAGAUGAUAGAAGGACAUUUUAUUGAAGCACUCAAGAGGAGUAAUACUACUGUGAUGCCAACACAUGGUGAAUAAACUUUAUAUUUUAUAAUGCUCUAAAUCCUGCACUGUGUUGGUUUGUUUCUAAUCUAAACAUGUCUUUUGGCUUGCUCUAGAUUUAGCCUGAACCUUAAUUCUUUGUUUGGUCUGAAUCUUGCCUGAACCACUUCAUGCAGAUCCUGAAUUUAGCUAUGAAUUAUGUCAUAAUUUUCCUAUGACUUAUGCCUGAAUUUUGUGC
Molecule: long non-coding RNA, 2800 nt
Organism: Triticum aestivum (bread wheat)
Lineage: Eukaryota; Viridiplantae; Streptophyta; Magnoliopsida; Poales; Poaceae
Exons: 7
Source: RefSeq, a predicted model, not a curated record